This 253-nucleotide ribosomal RNA is filed under the name uncultured bacterium. RNAcentral's name for it is "partial 16S ribosomal RNA". It matches the Rfam family "Bacterial small subunit ribosomal RNA", at positions 524 to 776 of the family's 1533-position model. The record is from RNAcentral.
UACGUAGGGUGCAAGCGUUGUCCGGAAUUAUUGGGCGUAAAGAGCUCGUAGGCGGCUUGUCGCGUCGGCUGUGAAAACCUGGGGCUCAACCCUCGAAUGCCGGUGGAUACUGUCGGGCUAGAGUGCGGAAGAGGCGAGUGGAAUUCCUGGUGUAGCGGUGAAAUGCGCAGAUAUCAGGAGGAACACCGGUGGCGAAGGCGGGUCUCUGGGCCGAUACUGACGCUGAGGAGCGAAAGCGUGGGGAGCGAACAGG